CCAAUGGAGAAGCUGACAUGACCAAUAGGAUAAUACUAUAGGGUUUGAAAAUGAGAUUGGGACAAGCUAAAGGUCAGUGGACUGACGAACUCUACAAUCCCCUUUGGUCGUACUGAACAACUCCUCAGAUUCCAAGCAGAGAAACUUCUUUCAAAUUGGUAUUUAGGAUGAAAGUUGUGAUCUCGAUGAAAAUUGAUCUAUCUUCAACUUGGGUAGAACAGUACGAUGAAUCGACCAAUUCGGAUAGAUGACGAGCCGAUUUGGACUUACUUGAUG
RNAcentral lists this long non-coding RNA (276 nucleotides) under Elaeis guineensis (African oil palm). Its description in RNAcentral is "long non-coding RNA (EGUI_LNC025595)". Lineage: Eukaryota; Viridiplantae; Streptophyta; Magnoliopsida; Arecales; Arecaceae. The record is from RNAcentral.